This is a long non-coding RNA of Pongo pygmaeus (Bornean orangutan), 1789 nucleotides long. RefSeq lists it as uncharacterized. NCBI's taxonomy places the organism in Eukaryota, Metazoa, Chordata, Mammalia, Primates, Hominidae. The record is from RefSeq and is a predicted model, not a curated record. The transcript has 2 exons.
CCGCCGCCCCGCGCACGCGCGUCGCCCCCUGCUUCUUCCGCGAGGGUCUGCGGGGAGCGCGCGUCCGACGGUCAGCGCCCCUCAGCUCACAGUCCCAGCGGCCCGGCUCGGCCGGCGCCUCCCGACCAAGUCUCUACGGUCGCCCUCCCCUCGGGGUGGCCACGAGGGACUCCUCCUCCUCUUCCUCCUCCCCUCCCUCCCCCUCGGCCUCCGCCUCCUCCUUCUCCUCCUCCUUCGCUGCCCCGACCUCCCGCCCCCAGUUCCAUGCGCUCUGAUAGCCGCCCGGCUCAUCCAGAGAAGCCCUGGGCCAGAUGUCCACAACCCAAGGGGUUAUGGGGAGGCCUCUGCUCUCUGGACACAGUAGUUCUCAAACUGGACAGUGUCAAUCAGCAUCCUCCGGGAGGUCUGGGAUGGCCCCGGAAAUACCUGUGUCCCACCUAUCCCAGCAGGUAAUGAUGAAACUCCUGCUCUGGUCCGAGCUACCGGUGAACAGCGCCCAGCGGGCCGGGCCCCAACCUCGCUCCUGAGCCUGAACAUCCCCCCAACCCCGCCGUGAGAAUUCAGCGAAGAGUAAAAGCUGGAAAAAGUUGCGUGUCUCAGGCUAAGCAGAAGAAAGUGGGGUGACGGCUCCCCCGCUAGGAAGAGAGAUGCCCUUAGGGAGCCCCCUGAUGGAAGAGCUCUCCGCUUAAGAAGGUCACCACUCCCUUACACUCAGCCCCCCUCAGUCUGAUUCCCUGCUAUGCCUGCCAUCACCACUGGCCAGUUUUACCACAUGCUUCUCAAGACCCAAGGCACAAUAGGCAUAAAGUUGUCCCGAAAAGGACAAGAGGAGUGUUAGAAGUAGGAAUGGCAGUCGAAGGAGCUUGGUCUGGCAGCAGAAAGCUGAAAUGACAGGCAAGCACAAAAUAUAUGAAUGAGACAAAGCUAUGCAUGAGCCAAAUAUCAAACUUUCAUCUUCUACCCACUUUUUUUUUUUUUUUUUUUGCUUAAAAAUAGGAAGACAGAAUGUCUUGUCAAGGGUCACCCCAGGAGGAGGAAUAAAUUCCCCAAAAAGCAGAACAUAUUUUUAUGAUUUAAUUAAUACAGUUUAUCUCAAUGUGUCUGUUUAUCAUUUGAGCAUCCACAUGAUCAGACCUGACAUCUGCCUACAUUUUCUUGGUUGUCUUUGACUUCAGUUAAGAACCUUUUGCUCUUUUUUUUCCCCCAGCAGCACUGUGUAGUAAGUUGGGAACAAGACACACCUGAAAUCAAAUCUCUGCUCUGUGCUGGGUGAUCUUAGAGGCAGUCUUUUACCUCUUUCUACUUUAUUGUUCUCAUAGGAAAAGUGGAAAUGAGGCCUUUUACCCCAGGGUUGUUGAGAAGACAGAGGAGAAAAAGCACAUAAAAAUGCACCUUGUCGGGCGUGGGGGCUCACACCUGUAAUCCCAGCACUUUGGGAGGCUGAGGCAGGUGUAUCGCUUGAGGCCAGGAGUUCAAGACCAGCCUGGCUAACAUGAAAAAUACAUUAAAAAUAAUGUCUCUAUUAAAAAGACAAAAAUUAGCCAGGCAUGGUGGUGAAUGCCUGUAAUCCCAGCUACUCAGGAGGCUGAGGCAGAAGAAUCGCUUGAACCCAGGAAGCGAAAGCUGCAGUGAGUCAAGAUCGCAGCACUGGCCAGGCACAGUGGCUCACACCUGUAAUCCCAGUACUUUGGAAGGCUGAGGUGGGCGGAUCACAAGGUCAGGAGAUGGAGACCAUCCUGGCUAACACGGUGAAACCGCGUCUCUACUAAAAAUACAAAAACAAAAUAAA